GCGACCUCAAUUGAGGCAAGAUUACUCGCUGAACUUAAGCAUAUCAGUAAGCGAAGGAAAAGAAACUAACGAGGAUUCCUUAGUAAACGGCGAGUGAAA
This 99-nucleotide ribosomal RNA is filed under the name Steinernema pakistanense. RNAcentral's name for it is "partial 28S ribosomal RNA". It matches the Rfam family "Eukaryotic large subunit ribosomal RNA", at positions 1 to 98 of the family's 3401-position model. The record is from RNAcentral. Lineage: Eukaryota; Metazoa; Nematoda; Chromadorea; Rhabditida; Steinernematidae.